AACGAACGCUGGCGGCAGGCUUAACACAUGCAAGUCGAGCGCCUCGCAGGAGGAGCGGCAGACGGGUGAGUAACGCGUGGGAACGUACCCUUAUCUUCGGAAUAGCUCUGGGAAACUGGAAGUAAUACCGAAUGUGCCAUAAGGGGGAAAGUUUUAUCGGAUAAGGAUCGGCCCGCGUUGGAUUAGCUAGUUGGUGGGGUAAAGGCCUACCAAGGCGACGAUCCAUAGCUGGUCUGAGAGGAUGAUCAGCCACAUUGGGACUGAGACACGGCCCAAACUCCUACGGGAGGCAGCAGUGGGGAAUAUUGGACAAUGGGCGCAAGCCUGAUCCAGCCAUGCCGCGUGAGUGAUGAAGGCCUUAGGGUUGUAAAGCUCUUUCACCGGAGAAGAUAAUGACGGUAGCCGGAGAAGAAGCCCCGGCUAACUUCGUG
Molecule: ribosomal RNA, 431 nt
Filed under: uncultured bacterium
Lineage: Bacteria
Description: partial 16S ribosomal RNA
Rfam family: Bacterial small subunit ribosomal RNA
Source: RNAcentral